This is a long non-coding RNA of Oreochromis niloticus (Nile tilapia), 1182 nucleotides long. RefSeq lists it as uncharacterized. The transcript has 2 exons. The record is from RefSeq and is a predicted model, not a curated record. NCBI's taxonomy places the organism in Eukaryota, Metazoa, Chordata, Actinopteri, Cichliformes, Cichlidae.
GGACCAUCAGGGGCUCUUGCCUCUUCUUCUUCUGCUUCUGUUCAAGGAGUGCUCGCUGACAUUUCAAGCAAAUGGAAAGAUAAAGAAACCUGCACACACAGACCAGUACCUACGCUUGGACUCCCACAGUUCCCAACUGGAGAGGCACAGGGAACAAAGGAGCACACACGUCUGAAGAAAGCACUUAAAACCUGUGGCUAUUCCAUCUGGGCCUUCAUUAAGUCAAAGAACAUCAAGCCAAAGAGAUUUAUGGAAAAACAACACAACAACAUCAAAAAAAAGAAGAAAAAAGCAGGCAUAACAACAUUAUCAUUCUGCUUGUGGCUACAGUGUUUGAGAAACUUAAAAGGCUUUUCUCCCAACUGAAGUUCCUGAGACACACGCCUAGAGGAUAAAACACUUAAACACAACCUGAGCAACUUUAUAUAUGCAGCCUAAUGCGGCAAAGGGUGCACAGAAAUAUAUACAGUGAACACCUGCAUCAAAAGGAUUGGGGGCACUCUACUGAGAGCAGCAAUGUACACAAUUUGGACAGCCAUGGUUUGAGAGAGGAGAGGAAAAAAGCCACCUGUGUUAAAGUGGAAAUACCAUCUCUAAACAGGGAAUGUGAUUUACAACAACGCCUGUCAGCAAAUUACGAAACAGUCCUGGCAACGCUCCAAACACACGGUUUUGCCUUCAUUCACACAGUUAUUUGUGAUUAAUUUUGUGUGAACGAUAACUCGCUGGUAGCCUUAAAUGAAUACCUGGAGCUGCACACCAGCUGCAGGCACUGAGGAAGCCUCUAGCAUGAGAGGCGAAAGGCAAGGACCAAAAACAAGUCCAGAAAUCUUCUCCUUCCCUGGAUAAAUGAGAUUCUAGACAAGCCUCUACACGAUGUUUCAAUCAAUAACAAUUUGUUUAAUGAUGCUUACGUGCCUGAAGCCCUCAACUGAGUGACAUUAAGAAUUGUAUUCUUUAUUCAUUCAUUCAUUCAUUUAGUCACGCAUGAAUAAAAAGCAGUUUACUUCAGAGUGAAUCAGACCACAUAAAACCUUAUACCCACUGAUGAACUAUGACAAGCUUCCGCAAGCUUUUGCUGCUCUGACAACGGAACGAGAACCCGUUUGAAACACUCCACUUACAUUAUCCACUUCAGGAAAAUAGCAGGACGUCAGAAGCAGCAGACUGCACUACGCAUAG